RNAcentral lists this ribosomal RNA (704 nucleotides) under Acinetobacter sp. SO-A5-105. RNAcentral describes it as "bacterial SSU rRNA". It matches the Rfam family "Bacterial small subunit ribosomal RNA", at positions 45 to 744 of the family's 1533-position model. Lineage: Bacteria; Pseudomonadati; Pseudomonadota; Gammaproteobacteria; Moraxellales; Moraxellaceae. The record is from RNAcentral.
GGCUUAACACAUGCAAGUCGAGCGGGGAAAGGUAGCUUGCUACCUGACCUAGCGGCGGACGGGUGAGUAAUGCUUAGGAAUCUGCCUAUUAGUGGGGGACAACAUUCCGAAAGGAAUGCUAAUACCGCAUACGCCCUACGGGGGAAAGCAGGGGAUCUUCGGACCUUGCGCUAAUAGAUGAGCCUAAGUCAGAUUAGCUAGUUGGUGGGGUAAAGGCCUACCAAGGCGACGAUCUGUAGCGGGUCUGAGAGGAUGAUCCGCCACACUGGGACUGAGACACGGCCCAGACUCCUACGGGAGGCAGCAGUGGGGAAUAUUGGACAAUGGGCGCAAGCCUGAUCCAGCCAUGCCGCGUGUGUGAAGAAGGCCUUUUGGUUGUAAAGCACUUUAAGCGAGGAGGAGGCUACCUAGAUUAAUACUCUAGGAUAGUGGACGUUACUCGCAGAAUAAGCACCGGCUAACUCUGUGCCAGCAGCCGCGGUAAUACAGAGGGUGCGAGCGUUAAUCGGAUUUACUGGGCGUAAAGCGUGCGUAGGCGGCUUUUUAAGUCGGAUGUGAAAUCCCUGAGCUUAACUUAGGAAUUGCAUUCGAUACUGGGAAGCUAGAGUAUGGGAGAGGAUGGUAGAAUUCCAGGUGUAGCGGUGAAAUGCGUAGAGAUCUGGAGGAAUACCGAUGGCGAAGGCAGCCAUCUGCCUAAUACUGAC